Molecule: ribosomal RNA, 491 nt
Filed under: uncultured bacterium
Lineage: Bacteria
Description: partial 16S ribosomal RNA
Rfam family: Bacterial small subunit ribosomal RNA
Source: RNAcentral
GAUGAACGCUGGCUACAGGCUUAACACAUGCAAGUCGAGGGGAAACGACGGGGAAGCUUGCUUCCCCGGGCGUCGACCGGCGCACGGGUGAGUAACGCGUAUCCAACCUGCCUCUGACUGAGGGAUAACCCGUCGAAAGUCGGCCUAAUACCUCAUGGUAUCGUCUGCGGGCAUCCAACGACGAUUAAAGAUUUCAUCGGUCAGGGAUGGGGAUGCGUCUGAUUAGCUUGUUGGCGGGGUAACGGCCCACCAAGGCUACGAUCAGUAGGGGUUCUGAGAGGAAGGUCCCCCACAUUGGAACUGAGACACGGUCCAAACUCCUACGGGAGGCAGCAGUGAGGAAUAUUGGGCAAUGGGCGAGAGCCUGAACCAGCCAAGUAGCGUGCAGGAAGACGGCCCUAUGGGUUGUAAACUGCUUUUAUGCGGGGAUAAAGUGAGGGACGUGUCCCUCAUUGCAGGUACCGCAUGAAUAAGGACCGGCUAAUUCCGUG